This 548-nucleotide ribosomal RNA is filed under the name Gennadas capensis. RNAcentral describes it as "partial 16S ribosomal RNA". It matches the Rfam family "Bacterial large subunit ribosomal RNA", at positions 1829 to 2625 of the family's 2925-position model. Lineage: Eukaryota; Metazoa; Arthropoda; Malacostraca; Decapoda; Benthesicymidae. The record is from RNAcentral.
GUCUGUAUGGUGGCUAUAUAGAGUCUAGCCUGCCCACUGAUAUAAAUUAAAGGGCCGCGGUAUUCUGACCGUGCGAAGGUAGCAUAAUCAUUAGUCUCUUAAUUGGAGGCUUGUAUGAAUGGUUGGACAAGAAGUAAUCUGUCUCUAUUAUACAAAUUGAACUUAACUUUUAAGUGAAAAGGCUUAAAUACCUUAGGGGGACGAUAAGACCCUAUAAAGCUUUACAACAAAAUAAAAUGUAUUAGCACUCGUACAAGUAUAACCUAAUCCACUUAAGAGUUGUUUCGUUGGGGCGACGAGGAUAUAAUAAAAUAACUGUUCUUUAAUAAAAAGUACAGUAAUUGCUGUAUAAAAAUUGAUCCUUUAUUAAAGAUCAAAAGAUUAAGUUACUUUAGGGAUAACAGCGUAAUCUUCUUUAAGAGUUCAUAUCGACAAGAAGGGUUGCGACCUCGAUGUUGAAUUAAGGUAUCCUUGUGGCGCAGCAGUUACAGAGGAAGGUCUGUUCGACCUUUAAAUCCUUACAUGAUUUGAGUUCAGACCGGCGUAAG